GACGAACGCUGGCGGCGCGCCUAACACAUGCAAGUCGAACGGAGCUGAGAGAAGCUUGCUUUUCUUAGCUUAGUGGCGAACGGGUGAGUAACGCGUGAGUAACCUGCCCUGGAGUGGGGGACAACAGUUGGAAACGACUGCUAAUACCGCAUAAGCCCACGAUCCGGCAUCGAUUGAGGGAAAAGGAUUUAUUCGCUUCAGGAUGGACUCGCGUCCAAUUAGCUAGUUGGUGAGGUAACGGCCCACCAAGGCGACGAUUGGUAGCCGGACUGAGAGGUUGAACGGCCACAUUGGGACUGAGACACGGCCCAGACUCCUACGGGAGGCAGCAGUGGGGGAUAUUGCACAAUGGGGGAAACCCUGAUGCAGCGACGCCGCGUGGAGGAAGAAGGUUUUCGGAUUGUAAACUCCUGUCGUUAGGGACGAUAAUGACGGUACCUAACAAGAAAGCACCGGCUAACUACGUG
RNAcentral lists this ribosomal RNA (467 nucleotides) under uncultured bacterium. RNAcentral's name for it is "partial 16S ribosomal RNA". It matches the Rfam family "Bacterial small subunit ribosomal RNA", at positions 28 to 507 of the family's 1533-position model. The record is from RNAcentral.